CAAUAGCGUAUACUAAAGUUGUUGCAGUUAAAAGCUCGUAGUUGGAUUUCUGUGCACCGGUUGUUGGUCCGCCUCUAUGAGGUGGGUCCUUCACCGUUGUACAUCCUGUUGGCAGACACGUGCUGGCAUUCAUUUGUCGGUGCGGGAGACCACUCGUUUACUUUGAGAAAAUUAAAGUGUUCAAAGCAGGCGCUCGCUUGAAUACAUUAGCAUGGAAUAAUAGUAUAGGACUUUGAUCUUAUUUGUUGGUUUUAAAGAUCAAAGUAAUGAUUGAUAGGGACAGUUGGGGGCAUCGAGUAUUCUGAAGCGAGAGGUGAAAUUGCUUGGAACCUUCGGUGAAGCACUGAAACAACUAGCGAAAGCAUUUGACCAAUGGAUGUUCUCUUUAAUUCAAGAACGAAAGUUAGGGGAUCGAAGACGAUUAGAUACCA
This 431-nucleotide ribosomal RNA is filed under the name uncultured eukaryote. RNAcentral describes it as "bacterial SSU rRNA". It matches the Rfam family "Eukaryotic small subunit ribosomal RNA", at positions 592 to 1017 of the family's 1831-position model. The record is from RNAcentral.